This 495-nucleotide ribosomal RNA is filed under the name uncultured bacterium. RNAcentral describes it as "partial 16S ribosomal RNA". It matches the Rfam family "Bacterial small subunit ribosomal RNA", at positions 29 to 506 of the family's 1533-position model. The record is from RNAcentral.
AUGAACGCUGGCGGCGUGCCUAAUACAUGCACGUCGAGCGAACAGACGAGGAGCUUGCUCCUCUGACGUUAGCGGCGGACGGGUGAGUAACACGUGGAUAACCUACCUAUAAGACUGGGAUAACUUCGGGAAACCGGAGCUAAUACCGGAUAAUAUAUUGAACCGCAUGGUUCAAUAGUGAAAGACGGUUUUGCUGUCACUUAUAGAUGGAUCCGCGCCGCAUUAGCUAGUUGGUAAGGUAACGGCUUACCAAGGCAACGAUGCGUAGCCGACCUGAGAGGGGGAUCGGCCACACUGGAACUGAGACACGGUCCAGACCCCUACGGGAGGCAGCAGUAGGGAACUUCCCGCAAUGGGCGAAAGCCUGAGGGAGAAACGCCGGGUGGGUGAUGAAGGUUUUCGGAUGGUAAAACUCUUUUUUUGGGGAAAAAAAAAUGUGUAAGUAACUAUGCACGUUUUGACGGUACCUAAUCAGAAAGCCCCGGCUAACCACGU